GAGAGACAACUGAAGGAGGCAGCAAAGAGGAGCACAUCACUACAGGGUUGGCUACGAAAAAUCCAAACAGCAGAUGAGGAGCAGCCACAAGCCUCCAGACACUCGGAAAAUGUGGACCAGGAGGAGGCACAUAGGGCAGGUCAGAGCAACUGCCCCUCAAAAUUCCUGUGCACGUCCCUG
Molecule: long non-coding RNA, 180 nt
Organism: Anoplopoma fimbria (sablefish)
Lineage: Eukaryota; Metazoa; Chordata; Actinopteri; Perciformes; Anoplopomatidae
Exons: 3
Source: RefSeq, a predicted model, not a curated record